Molecule: long non-coding RNA, 1818 nt
Filed under: Homo sapiens (human)
Lineage: Eukaryota; Metazoa; Chordata; Mammalia; Primates; Hominidae
Description: JPX transcript, XIST activator
Rfam family: JPX transcript, XIST activator conserved region 1 (bases 1-128)
Source: RNAcentral
AGUGGAAGACUUAAGAUGGCGGCGUUUGCACGGAGUGCAAUCACUGCGUCCUUACGGGGGUUGCAAGGCGUCCGAAGUAUGAGUCCACUAACAAAAGUCCAGAAACUCGCCAGUUAAUAGUAUUGUGUCUCUUCAAAAUAUCGGAGAAUAAUUUCUUUCUCGCUGAUCGCCUAACUUCUACUGACGAAGCUUGGAAGUUGCAGAAGGUUGGAGUGCAAUGGCGCGAUCUCGGCUGACUGCAACCUCCACCUCCUGGAUUCAAGCUAUUCUCCUGCCUCAGCCUGCCGAGUAGCUGGGAUUACAGGCAUGUGCCACCGCACCCAGCUAAUUUUGUAUUUUUUAGUAGAGAUGGGGUUUCUCCAUGUUGGUCAGGCUGGUCUUGAACUCCUGACCUCAGGUGAUCCGCCCACCUCAGCCUCCCAAAGUGCUGGGAUUACAGGCGUGAGCCACCGCGCCCGGCCAGAACAUUAGUUUUAAACUUCCUAACCCUUGGGAGAAGGCAAAACACUUGAUGAAAUCUACAUAAAGACUAAAACAUUUUACCAAUUUUGCAUUGUUUGUUUGAAAUUGCAUUGACGACUGAUGGAGUUCGCUCUUGUUGCCCAGGCUGGAAUGCAAUGGCAUGACCUUGGCUCACUGCAACCUCUGCCUCCCCAGUUCAAGUGGUUCUCCUGCCUCAGCCUCCCGAGUAGCUGAGAUUACAGGUACUGGCUCCUGUAUCACCCAGCUCUGGAGUUGAAAGAGCUCUUCAUUCCUGAGUCUCCUGUACCACUGAGAAUAGGCUGGAGUGCAGUGGCGCAAUCUCGGCUCUCUGCAACCUUCACCUCCCGUGUUCAAGUGAUUCUCCUGCCUCAGCCUCCUGAAUACCUGAGAUUACAAGCAUGCACCACCACGCCCGUCUAAUUUUGUAUUUUCACUAGAGACGGGGUUUCUCCAUGUUGGUCAGGCUGGUCUCGAACUCCCGACCUCAGGUGAUCCGCCCGCCUCAGCCUCCCAAAGUGCUGGGAUUACAGGCAUGAGCCACCGCGUCCAGCAAGAAUAGGUGAUUUUCAAACUUGGAAACAUUCAGAAGUUAUCGCCUCAGUUUCAGAUUGAGUAGUCUCAAAGAGAUUACAGACAUCUACCACAAAUUCUCUACUUGGUGUGGUGCAAAAUCAGUAUGAUGUAAACUUUGUCUCUCAGUUUCUUCAAAGGAAAGAAGCAACUGGAACACACAUAUAACACUAACCCUUCCAGCUGCAUUAUGAGGGACCAGUACCUGUCUCAAGGCAAAAUUAUGACUUAGUUCAUCCUCACCUCUGGAGGCCAGUAAAAGUGGGUUAUAGAAGAACAAAGAGGCAUCUAGAUCUUUCACUGGGUUAUUUGGAGAGAAACAUCUCCUACCGAAGGCCAGUUUAACAAGACUGGUAGAGGAGGUUAUCUUAUCUAAUUCACAGAAAUCAACACAUUGAGUCAAGAAAAAUGAAACACAGAAACACUCUAAAUAAAAGAAGAUAAGUCUUCAGAAACCAACCCUAAUGAAAUGAAGAUAUGUGAUUAACCUGACAGGAAAUUAAAAAGAGCAACCAUAAAGAGUCUCAUGGGAGCAAUGCAUGAACAAACUGAGAAUUUUCAUAAAGAAAUAAAAGAUAACAAAAAGUAUAAAGUUGAAGAAUACAAUAACUGGACUCAAAAAUUUAAUGUGUCCAACAGAAGAAUCGAUGAAGCAGAAGAAAGGGCUAUCAAACUUGUAGAUAGGCCAUUGGAAAUCAUGUAAUGUGAGGAGAAAAAAGAAAAAAGAUUGAAGAUAGUUUAAGAGACUUUUGAGACAUCCUCAAA